RNAcentral lists this transfer RNA (83 nucleotides) under Bacteroidota bacterium. RNAcentral's name for it is "Bacteroidetes bacterium (grounwater metagenome) tRNA-OTHER". It matches the Rfam family "tRNA". From Rfam's summary of the family: Transfer RNA (tRNA) molecules are approximately 80 nucleotides in length. Lineage: Bacteria; Pseudomonadati; Bacteroidota. The record is from RNAcentral.
GUCUGUGUACCUUAACGGAAAGAGGAUCAGAUAAGCCGGAAAGCGGCCUCUGAAAGUUGCUAGUUCGACUCUAGCCACAGGCA